UACGUAGGGUGCAAGCGUUGUCCGGAAUUAUUGGGCGUAAAGAGCUCGUAGGCGGUUUGGUAAGUCGGGUGUGAAAUCUCCACGCUCAACGUGGAGGGGCCACCCGAUACUGCCAUGACUGGAGUCCGGUAGGGGAGUGUGGAAUUCCCGGUGUAGCGGUGAAAUGCGCAGAUAUCUGGAGGAACACCGGUGGCGAAGGCGGCCCUCUGGACGGUGACUGACGCUGAGACGCGAAAGCGUGGGGAGCAAACAGG
Molecule: ribosomal RNA, 254 nt
Filed under: uncultured bacterium
Lineage: Bacteria
Description: partial 16S ribosomal RNA
Rfam family: Bacterial small subunit ribosomal RNA
Source: RNAcentral